RNAcentral lists this transfer RNA (83 nucleotides) under Rhipiliopsis peltata. Its description in RNAcentral is "tRNA-Tyr". It matches the Rfam family "tRNA". Rfam says of the family: Transfer RNA (tRNA) molecules are approximately 80 nucleotides in length. Their secondary structure includes four short double-helical elements and three loops (D, anti-codon, and T loops). The record is from RNAcentral. Lineage: Eukaryota; Viridiplantae; Chlorophyta; Ulvophyceae; Bryopsidales; Halimedaceae.
GGGUCGAUGCCCGAGAGGCUAAAGGGGGCGGAUUGUAAAUCCGCUGGUGAUUGCCUUCGCUGGUUCGAAUCCAGUUCGACCCA